This 723-nucleotide ribosomal RNA is filed under the name Chryseobacterium indoltheticum. RNAcentral describes it as "bacterial SSU rRNA". It matches the Rfam family "Bacterial small subunit ribosomal RNA", at positions 579 to 1310 of the family's 1533-position model. Lineage: Bacteria; Pseudomonadati; Bacteroidota; Flavobacteriia; Flavobacteriales; Weeksellaceae. The record is from RNAcentral.
AUCUGUAAGUCAGUGGUAAAAUCUCAUAGCUUAACUAUGAAACUGCCAUUGAUACUGCAGGUCUUGAGUAAGGUAGAAGUGGCGGGAAUAAGUAGUGUAGCGGUGAAAUGCAUAGAUAUUACUUAGAACACCAAUUGCGAAGGCAGGUCACUAUGUUUUAACUGACGCUGAUGGACGAAAGCGUGGGGAGCGAACAGGAUUAGAUACCCUGGUAGUCCCCGCCGUAAACGAUGCUAACUCGUUUUUGGGUUUUCGGAUUCAGAGACUAAGCGAAAGUGAUAAGUUAGCCACCUGGGGAGUACGUUCGCAAGAAUGAAACUCAAAGGAAUUGACGGGGGCCCGCACAAGCGGUGGAUUAUGUGGUUUAAUUCGAUGAUACGCGAGGAACCUUACCAAGGCUUAAAUGGGAAUUGACAGGUUUAGAAAUAGACUUUUCUUCGGACAAUUUUCAAGGUUCUGCAUGGUUGUCGUCAGCUCGUGCCGUGAGGUGUUAGGUUAAGUCCUGCAACGAGCGCAACCCCUGUCACUAGUUGCCAUCAUUCAGUUGGGGACUCUAGUGAGACUGCCUACGCAAGUAGAGAGGAAGGUGGGGAUGACGUCAAAUCAUCACGGCCCUUACGCCUGGGGCCACACACGUAAUACAAUGGCCGGUACAGAGGGCAGCUACCUAGCGAUAGGAUGCGAAUCUCGAAAGCCGGUCUCAGUUCGGAUGGGAGGCUGCAA